AUGCUGGUCCCCGACGUGGGUGGCAGGGGUCCCAGUCGUUGGACCCCCUGCAGACGCCUUCCCAGGCACGUUGGCAGGAGGCUGGCUCUGAAGCCGCGCUCAGGCUGGGUAUGGGACGUGGGCAUCGCCUGUGGCGGCGUAACCACUGCGUCCUCACCGUUUCUGCGUGCUCAACGUCGUGUCACAGCAGAAAUGACCGGCGCGGUGUGCGGCAGCUCGGCUCUGAAGUCCAGUACUCAGGAACCCGCCCUCCUCUCCCUGGGCGGAGAGCCAUCGCGCACGCAUUCUGAAAGCGGAAUUCUGGGGCUGCCGGGGCACGACCAGGCUGCGGCCAGGAGCCAGGAGCUCCGCCUGGGCCUCCCGUGUGGGUGGCAGAGGCCCAGCUCUAGCCGUCACUGCUGCCUCCCAGGCACGUUAGCAGGAAGCUGGGUCAGAAGCAGAGUGGACGGGACUGGCACCGGGCACUCCGCACCGGCUGCCGAUGUCCCACGCGGCUUUGCCUACUGCGCCAUGCCAGCUGGGAGGAGGAUUUUAAGGGAAGAGCUCUGCUCUCUGAGGCCUUCUUCCCCCGCCAGCCUUGUGAUCCACCCACCCCCAAACCGGGACUCCACCUCCUGCCUCUGGACUGGACAGGGGGCUCCUGUGUCCUGUGCCAUGGAACCCACUCCUGUUCCGGAAGCCAGGACGGGGCGCAGGAAGGGAGGUGAGAGUUUUGGUCGUUUGAGGGGUGGCCUUGAGAGGAAGUGGGGUACCCGUCCUGCCUCACUCGGGACUCCCCAGCUCAGCUUGGACGACUCUGCCCUGAAACCAGGGGGUGAGCGUUCAGCUGCAGGCCCCUGGGCCCCGAAUCCCUGGUGCGUCUUCCAGGAGCGAGUGAGAAGACAGGGCCGUGGGAGAGACGCCCCAGACACUGCACAGAGCUCCGUGGUCUGGGCCAAUUUUGGGUAUUCCCGUGAAAGCUCGUGGGGCUCCCUUAAUGGUUUUCUCUUUGUGCAGAUGUGGGUGCGGCCUGUGAGGACGCGCAUAUCACCGCUGCCAACGGCGGUCACCUGCCCGGGGCUGCAGCUCUGGGGACCCUGGCCGGCAAGUGCAGCUCUGAGCCCCCUGCCUUCUGGCUGCGCUGGGCUCUGA
RNAcentral lists this long non-coding RNA (1131 nucleotides) under Oryctolagus cuniculus (rabbit). RNAcentral describes it as "lncRNA (ENSOCUG00000038470.1)". Lineage: Eukaryota; Metazoa; Chordata; Mammalia; Lagomorpha; Leporidae. The record is from RNAcentral.